GCAGCCGCGGUAAUACGUAGGUGGCAAGCGUUGUCCGGAUUUACUGGGUGUAAAGGGCGUGCAGCCGGGUCGGUAAGUCAGAUGUGAAAUCUGGAGGCUCAACCUCCAAACUGCAUUUGAAACUGCUGAUCUUGAGUAUCGGAGAGGUAAUCGGAAUUCCUUGUGUAGCGGUGAAAUGCGUAGAUAUAAGGAAGAACACCAGUGGCGAAGGCGGAUUACUGGACGACAACUGACGGUGAGGCGCGAAAGCGUGGGGAGCAAACAGGAUUAGAUACCCC
Molecule: ribosomal RNA, 278 nt
Filed under: uncultured bacterium
Lineage: Bacteria
Description: partial 16S ribosomal RNA
Rfam family: Bacterial small subunit ribosomal RNA
Source: RNAcentral